This 1792-nucleotide long non-coding RNA is filed under the name Sorghum bicolor (sorghum). RNAcentral's name for it is "long non-coding RNA (SBIC_LNC009719)". The record is from RNAcentral. Lineage: Eukaryota; Viridiplantae; Streptophyta; Magnoliopsida; Poales; Poaceae.
AACCAAUUUACAAAAGAGGAUGGCAACAGGAAGCAAAGGAAACAAAAAAAAGGAGUGUCAAUGUGAAUGGAGUUAGAAGGAGCGUUCAAGAUGCGGAUGGAGAUAGAUGGAAAGUUGGAUGACAAGUGGGAGUAAGCUUGUCAUUGUUUUUCUUGUUAAUUUAGUUGCAUAAAGAAAUGAGAUCAAGUGCAAGGUUGUUGAUGCCUUUUAUUUUUUUAAUGAAAUUGCAUAUAUAUUAUAGUUGUAAGAAAGAAGGAGUAUGCUGCUUGGAUUGGUGGAAGGAAUUGUUGGACUCAUACAAAGAUGGAAAGGUGUGUUGUUUGUUAGAUUAUGUGUAUAUUAAUUUUAUUUUGGAUUAAAGGUGUCUUCAAUAAUGGUCAUGCUAUAUUUUUUCACGAGUAUGGCUCAUUAGAUGUGAUGUAUUGAUUCGUUACUACUUUGGCCGAACCAUAUUCAUGUGGUUCCUCACAUUUUUAAUUGCAAUAUUUUUAUAUAGACUUUUACAUAAUCUGUCUCCCAAAUCGUAAACAAACCUUGUUAGUUAUUUUAUCGAAACAUGUAUUCUUUAUACAAUAAACACAUGUAGAUGGAACAAUUGUCUUGGUUAACCAUUGAUCAAUCCAUAAUGCGAACAAAUAAAAAACUAAAAAUAUUUUUAGCAUGUCUAAACUGUACUCUGACAUGACACCUAUUUACACCGUGAAACCCAUAGCUCACAGUAGAGCACAAACAUGUCUAUUAUUUCAAACACAAGUCCUACGUUAUGCACACCAAUUUUUAUUCAUGUGUUUACACAAAACUGCCAAACUCCAUAUGCAUCUUCAUUGGAUAGUCACAAUUUCCUGGCUUAUUAACUUUGUUUCAUCUUCUCAUUUAUAAGAUUUUCAUCUUCAUUUCUUAUUUGAAAUCCCGCAAUUAAGAUACAAAUUUACCCCCAGUUUCAACAUAUUUUUUAUAUAAUAAUAUUCAGAUUGGUAAUGAACUCACCUGUUUGCAUCCAUGUUUGCAUCAUCGUUGGCUAGGAACCCAUCGAAGGAAGUAAACUUUUCUGCUUCACGCAUGCAUUUCGUAAUUUUUUUAGACUUACUUGAUUCCUUGACGAUUGUCAUGGCUUUUCCCAUGAGCAUCCUUGCAUUCAAAUUCUUCAUGCUUGAAUCACCCUUCUCUUCGUAAGGUUUUUAUUUUUUUUCCUUUAUAACUUUCGCUUCUUCCUGCCAUGUUGCUCCUCGUUUCUGGUUUUGUCAAAUGAAGAGUUGCACCCACGAAUAUAUUACAGUGUAACCUAUACAUGCAGCCAUUGAGACUUAUUUACUAUUUAAGGACACCAUUACUUGUCACACCCACGUUGCAACUACAGGCAUGCAACAACAAUGAUCAGUGUGACCAUUGGCAUGGCCAUGCAGCGGCACAGGACCAAGCCGUGCUCACAGACGCACACAGCGGCAAAGCAUCAAGCGACAAAUGACCAACGUGACCAUUCACACGCACAUGUAGCGGCACAAGACCAAGCCGUGCUCACGAGCGCACACAGCGGCAAAGCAUCAAGCAGCACCACAUCUCUAGAACCCAUGCAAAGGCGUAUACCAAGCACAAGGUAGCUAUAUCUAUGUAUAUCUCCCUCAUUAAAUUGUAGUAGUUCUGAUGAGUUUAAGCAGUUUGUUCUUCUUCUUCGUAACUCAUCCUUCCCGAUCUCAUUUGUAUCUCACUUUGACACAAGAAAAUUUGUUUCCUUCAUCCACAAAAUCAAACAUGGCUAAGCCCCCCAGUCUAUAUGGCAAGGCGCACUAGGAGU